Molecule: ribosomal RNA, 492 nt
Filed under: uncultured bacterium
Lineage: Bacteria
Description: partial 16S ribosomal RNA
Rfam family: Bacterial small subunit ribosomal RNA
Source: RNAcentral
AGUGAACGCUGGCGGUAGGCCUAACACAUGCAAGUCGAACGGCAGCACAGUAAGAGCUUGCUCUUACGGGUGGCGAGUGGCGGACGGGUGAGGAAUACAUCGGAAUCUACUUUUUCGUGGGGGAUAACGUAGGGAAACUUACGCUAAUACCGCAUACGACCUACGGGUGAAAGCAGGGGAUCUUCGGACCUUGCGCGAUUGAAUGAGCCGAUGUCGGAUUAGCUAGUUGGCGGGGUAAAGGCCCACCAAGUCGACGAUCCGUAGCUGGUCUGAGAGGAUGAUCAGCCACACUGGAACUGAGGCACGGUCCAGACUCCUACGGGAGGCAGCAGUGGGGAAUAUUGGACAAUGGGCGCAAGCCUGAUCCAGCCAUACCGCGUGGGUGAAGAAGGCCUUCGGGUUGUAAAGCCCUUUUGUUGGGAAAGAAAAGCAGCAGGUUAAUACCCCGCUGUUCUGACGGUACCCAAAGAAUAAGCACCGGCUAACUUCGUG